CUGGCGGCACGCCUAACACAUGCAAGUCGAACGAAGUAGCAAUACUUAGUGGCAGACGGGUGAGUAACAUGUGGGUAUCUGCCCUUUGGCCUGGAAUAACACGAGGAAACUUGUGCUAAUACUGGAUAAGUCUUUACGGAGAAAGCUUUAUGCACCAUUGGAUGAGCCUGCACUUGAUUAGUUUGUUGGUGGGGUAAUGGCCUACCAAGACUGUGAUCAAUAGCUGAUUUGAGAGGAUGAUCAGCCACAUUGGGACUGAGACACGGCCCAAACUCCUACGGGAGGCAGCAGUGGGGAAUCUUGCACAAUGGAGGAAACUCUGAUGCAGCGAUGCCGCGUGAGUGAAGAAGGCCUUUGGGUUGUAAAGCUCUUUCGUCGGGGAAGAAAAUGACUGUACCCGAAUAAGAAGGUCCG
RNAcentral lists this ribosomal RNA (414 nucleotides) under uncultured bacterium. RNAcentral describes it as "bacterial SSU rRNA". It matches the Rfam family "Bacterial small subunit ribosomal RNA", at positions 36 to 495 of the family's 1533-position model. The record is from RNAcentral.